AGAGUUUGAUCAUGGCUCAGAAUGAACGCUGGCGGCGUGCUUAACACAUGCAAGUCGUACGAGAACGCUUCAGCUUGCUGAAGCUAGUAAAGUGGCGCACGGGUGAGUAACGCGUGGGUAAUCUACCUUCGAAUUGGGGAUAACGUUGCGAAAGUGACGCUAAUACCGAAUGAUAUCAUAAGGACUUUGGUUCUUUUGAUCAAAGAUGGCCUCUCCUUGGAAGCUAUUGUUUGAAGAUGAGCCCGCGUCCCAUUAGCUUGUUGGUGGGGUAAUGGCCUACCAAGGCAGCGAUGGGUAGCUGGUCUGAGAGGAUGAUCAGCCACACUGGAACUGACACACGGUCCAGACUCCUACGGGAGGCAGCAGUGAGGAAUUUUGCGCAAUGGGGGAAACCCUGACGCAGCAACGGCCGCGUGAGUGAUGAAGGCUUUCGGGUCGUAAAGCUCUGUCAAGUGGGAAGAACUCCCGCGAGGUUAAUACCCUCAUGGUUUGACGGUACCACUGAAGGAAGCACCGGCUAACUCCGUGCCAGCAGCCGCGGUAAUACGGGGGGUGCAAGCGUUAUUCGGAUUUACUGGGCGUAAAGCGCGCGUAGGCGGCCGUUUAAGUCAGAUGUGAAAGCCCGGGGCUCAACCCCGGAAGUGCAUUUGAUACUAUUCGGCUUGAGUAUGGGAGAGGGAAGUGGAAUUCCUGGUGUAGAGGUGAAAUUCGUAGAUAUCAGGAGGAACACCGGUGGCGAAGGCGACUUCCUGGGACCAAUACUGACGCUGAGGCGCGAAGGCGUGGGGAGCAAACAGGAUUAGAUACCCUGGUAGUCCACGCAGUAAACGGUGAUCACUAGGUGUAGCGGGUAUUGACCCCUGCUGUGCCGCAGCUAACGCAUUAAGUGAUCCGCCUGGGGAGUACGGCCGCAAGGUUAAAACUCAAA
RNAcentral lists this ribosomal RNA (928 nucleotides) under uncultured delta proteobacterium. RNAcentral's name for it is "bacterial SSU rRNA". It matches the Rfam family "Bacterial small subunit ribosomal RNA", at positions 8 to 905 of the family's 1533-position model. The record is from RNAcentral. Lineage: Bacteria; Deltaproteobacteria.